CUGAGCUUUAAAUCAUGAAAUUCCAUGCAAAAUUGAGUUAGUUAGGUCGAUUUAAAGUUUUGUGCAUGAAUGUUGUUUGCUUCGAUUUGCUCAUGAUAAUUGGAAUUAGGAUAAACCAUGCAUGGAUUCGUGACCUAGAAUGAAGGAUCUACGUGUUAGUAUGCUUGAUUGUGAAUUCUGGGAAAGAUGUUCUUGAUGCAUCCACUGUUCAUGAGAUUCACGAUGAAGAUGGUGAUGUUCAUGUUUUGGCAA
This 252-nucleotide long non-coding RNA is filed under the name Lathyrus oleraceus (garden pea). Its description in RNAcentral is "Pisum sativum (pea) long non-coding RNA (PSAT_LNC038184)". The record is from RNAcentral. Lineage: Eukaryota; Viridiplantae; Streptophyta; Magnoliopsida; Fabales; Fabaceae.